CCCCGCCUGGGGAGUACGCCCGCAAGGGUGAAACUCAAAGGAAUUGACGGGGGCCCGCACAAGCGGUGGAGCGCGUGGUUCAAUUCGAUGCUAAGCGAAGAACCUUACCUGGGCUUGACAUGCUGGUAGUACCCUGACCGAAAGGUUGGGGGAUCCCCUUUUGGGGAAGCCAGCACAGGUGCUGCACGGCUGUCGUCAGCUCGUGCCGUGAGGUGUUGGGUUAAGUCCCGCAACGAGCGCAACCCCUGCCCUUAGUUGCCAUCAGCGCCCAUGUGGCGGCUGGGCACUCUAAGGGGACUGCCGCCGAUGAGGCGGAGGAAGGUGGGGAUGACGUCAAGUCCGUGUGGCCUUUAUGCCCAGGGCUACACACGCGCUACAAUGGGCGGGACAAUGGGUUGCGACCCUGCGAGGGGGAGCCAAUCCCAUAAAACCGCUCCCAGUUCGGAUUGCAGGCUGCAACUCGCCUGCAUGAAGGCGGAAUCGCUAGUAAUCGCCUAUCAGCAUGGGGCGGUGAAUACGUUCCCGGGCCUUGUACACACCGCCCGUCACGCCAUGGAAGCCGGGGGCACCUGAAGUCGCUCGCCCAACCCCUUAUGGGGAGGGAGGCGCCUAGGGUGAACCCGGUGACUGGGGCGAAGUCGUAACAAGGUAGCCGUACGGGAACGUGCGGCUGGAUCACCUCCUUUAA
This 688-nucleotide ribosomal RNA is filed under the name Deltaproteobacteria bacterium. Its description in RNAcentral is "bacterial SSU rRNA". It matches the Rfam family "Bacterial small subunit ribosomal RNA", at positions 867 to 1533 of the family's 1533-position model. Lineage: Bacteria; Pseudomonadati; Myxococcota; Myxococcia. The record is from RNAcentral.